Molecule: ribosomal RNA, 250 nt
Filed under: uncultured bacterium
Lineage: Bacteria
Description: partial 16S ribosomal RNA
Rfam family: Bacterial small subunit ribosomal RNA
Source: RNAcentral
UACGUAGGGUGCGAGCGUUAAUCGGAAUUACUGGGCGUAAAGCGUGCGCAGGCGGAUUGUUAAGCAAGAUGUGAAAUCCCCGGGCGUUAACCUGGGAAGUGGCGAUUUUGUAACUGGCAGUCUAGAGUGUGUCAGAGGGGGGUGGAAUUCCACGUGUGGCAGUGAAAUGCGUAGAUAUGUGGAGGAACACCAAUGGCGUAGGCAGCCCCCUGGGAUAACACUGACGCUCAUGUACGAAAGCGUGGGUAGC